AAUAAACGAACAAGCGGUGGAAACCCAUGCAGCCGGAUGAUUGGCUAGUCGCCAAUCAUAGCAGUUCGCCCAAGAGCGCAAUUGUGAGACGU
This 92-nucleotide non-coding RNA is filed under the name Eremococcus coleocola ACS-139-V-Col8. The record is from Rfam by way of RNAcentral. Lineage: Bacteria; Bacillati; Bacillota; Bacilli; Lactobacillales; Aerococcaceae.